CAGAUUGCUCCUUCUUUCAUCCCUAUUGUCGCAUUAAUCUCUCCUUAUCUACUGGCUGCUUCCCUAUGCCUACAAACACAAAGAUGUCUCCUUCAUCCUCAAAAACACUCAACUAUCCAUCAAUAUAUCUUUCUCUUCCCUUUCGUAACUAAAUUCAAAGCCAGCUACAAUAGGUGCUUCUACUUUUCUUUCACUCUCUUAACUCUGCAGGACAGCGGAACUCCGAAGCGGCGACCUCCGCGGGUCGGAGGCCCGGCUAUCACAGAGGCUCGAACCCGUGCCGGUGUCCCCCAGGAUCCGGGCUGCGCCGGGUCCGAAAGCGGGAGCGGGAGCCGCCAGCCACCGCGGCACGUAGCAGGGAGGAGGGAGGGGCCACAAGGACCGGACUCUCCCUUCAGUGCCGGGCCUCAACCGGCGCCGCCGCCAUCUUGUCUUUCGCUCCGUGUCGCCGCCGCCGCUGCUGCGGCCGCACUCCACUCCAGGUUUCCCGGAUGUGGGCAUUUCCCAGCGUCGCUUGCGCGCGGGGUGAGGUGGGGGUUGGGGGAAGAGAGGAGAGGAGAGGAGAAGAGAGGGGAGGGUGAAGAAAAGGGCGGGGGUAAGAACUUGGGGCUUUUCCUCGGUUCUUCUCCGUGCGCGCUGACCAACUCCUCGGAAGGCAGGAGAGAGGUUCAGCCCGCCCUUGACCUUCGGCUUCCUGGUUGACCACGAAGCAGGAAAAAGAUCCUGCUCUCUCUUUUCCACUUUAAUGUUAAACCCAUGGUUUUCUCUUCGAAUCUUUGACUGUCUCGCUCGAAUCCUCAGCACAGACGCCGAAGUAGAGAGAUUUAGCAGUAGGAAAGCCGAACCUAGCCUCAAGAUCGUCGCUUCGGAGGCCGUCUGGUUAAGGCAUUUUAAAAAUGAGGAAACUGAGCCCCUAGUAGGUAGUGAGUUGCCACAGGUUGUAAGGGACAGAGCUGGGGAUUUCAAGGCAAACUCAGGGGUUCGUUCCCCUGCAUCACAAUCAGUGCCUCUGAAAUGGCACUUGUUAGUUUUGAUCGAAAAGUUGAAUUUCGAAUUUUAAAAAACUGAUAAAAAUCCUGUGAACUCUUGGAGGAAGUAUGGAUCACACUGAUAGAUUUCGAAGUUCUUUAAAUACUAACCAUAAUUCAGCAAGAGAAUCAAUGAAGGUGAUAGAAAACAGUUGCAGAAAGAGAAAGAAUUGAAAAAACAUCUACAUCAUACCACGGAAGAAGAGGGAUAUUAUCAAGAUAACGAAUGUGGGAAAACUUAGAUGGAAUGGAAUGUUUUUUGUAUAUGAAACGUCAAAGAAGUGCUAUAAAUGUGUAGCAAGUGGUAGCAGGUUCAUUCCUUCCAGAAGUCCCCAUAUUGUACUUAUCCCCCUCCAUCCCUGGUAGCAAGAGAAAAGAACAGGAGGGAAUAUUCAUAAAGAGUGUGUGCAUCUAAGGUUGAGAGAGAAACAAACACUUGGGGGUACAGGAAUUUUGUUUAGUAAAAUGUUCUAAAUUACUGAUUGGAGAAGUGCAAAUGCAAACAAUUCUUAAGUAUCAUCUUACACCUAUCAGAUUGGCUAAAAUGAUAAGAGGGCAAAAUGACAAAUGGUGGAGGGAAUGUGGAAAAAUGAGGGCUCUAAUAUACACUUGAUGGAACUUCAAACUGAUCCAAUCAUUUUGGAGAGCAAUUUGGAAUCAUGCCCAGUUAUAAAACUGUAUACCCCUAGCCCCAGCAAUACCAUUGCUAGGUUUGUUUCCCAGGGAAAACAAAAAAGAAAGUAUAUGUUACAAGACAUUUUAUAGCAGCGCUCUUUGUGGUAGCAAAGAGCUGGAAACCAAAAGGAUGUCCAUCAGCUGGAGAAUGGCUGGACAAGUUGUGCUAUGAUCUUGAUGGAUACUACUUUGUUGUAAGAAAAGAUGAAGGGGGUAACUUGAGUGAAACAAGUAGAACCAAUAGAAUAUUACAUAUAGCUACAGAAUUAAUAUUUCAAGAGUAACUUAGUUAUGUCCACCUCCAGAAAAAUGAAGUGAAAAACAACUAGAAAAAAUAAACACACAUACACACACA
This is a long non-coding RNA of Monodelphis domestica (gray short-tailed opossum), 2058 nucleotides long. NCBI's taxonomy places the organism in Eukaryota, Metazoa, Chordata, Mammalia, Didelphimorphia, Didelphidae. The record is from Ensembl.